UACGAAGGGGGCUAGCGUUGCUCGGAAUCACUGGGCGUAAAGCGCACGUAGGCGGCUUCUUAAGUCAGGGGUGAAAUCCUGGAGCUCAACUCCAGAACUGCCUUUGAUACUGGGAAGCUUGAGUUCGGGAGAGGUGAGUGGAACUGCGAGUGUAGAGGUGAAAUUCGUAGAUAUUCGCAAGAACACCAGUGGCGAAGGCGGCUUACUGGUCCGGUUCUGACGCUGAGGCGCGAAAGCGUGGGGAGCAAACAGG
This 253-nucleotide ribosomal RNA is filed under the name uncultured bacterium. RNAcentral describes it as "partial 16S ribosomal RNA". It matches the Rfam family "Bacterial small subunit ribosomal RNA", at positions 524 to 776 of the family's 1533-position model. The record is from RNAcentral.